AGAGCGGCGGACGGGUGAGUAACACGUGGACAAUCUGCCCCCCACGCCCGGGAUAGCCCGAGGGAAACCUGGAUUAAUACCGGAUGAGACGGACCCGCGAUGGCGGGACCGGGAAGGCGCUGCGGCGCCGCCGGGGGAUGAGUCUGCGUCCCAUUAGCUAGACGGCGGGGUAACGGCCCACCGUGGCGACGAUGGGUAGCCGGCCUGAGAGGGUGGACGGCCACAUUGGAACUGAGACACGGUCCAGACUCCUACGGGAGGCAGCAGCUAAGAAUCUUCCGCAAUGGGCGAAAGCCUGACGGAAGCGACGCCGCGUGAACGAAGAAGGCCGUGAGGUUGUAAAGUUCUUUUCGGGAGGGGGAACAACCGUGGCAGGGAAUGGCCGCGGGAUGACGUGAAUCCCGGAAUAAGCCCCGGCUAACUACGUGCCAGCCGCCGC
RNAcentral lists this ribosomal RNA (439 nucleotides) under uncultured bacterium. Its description in RNAcentral is "bacterial SSU rRNA". It matches the Rfam family "Bacterial small subunit ribosomal RNA", at positions 92 to 518 of the family's 1533-position model. The record is from RNAcentral.